CCUACGGGUGGCAGCAGUGAGGAAUAUUGGUCAAUGGACGAGAGUCUGAACCAGCCAAGUAGCGUGAAGGAUGACUGCCCUAUGGGUUGUAAACUUCUUUUAUAUGGGAAUAAAAUGUUCCACGUGUGGGCUUUUGUAUGUACCAUAUGAAUAAGGAUCGGCUAACUCCGUGCCAGCAGCCGCGGUAAUACGGAGGAUCCGAGCGUUAUCCGGAUUUAUUGGGUUUAAAGGGUGCGCAGGCGGAAGAUCAAGUCAGCGGUAAAAUUGAGAGGCUCAACCUCUUCGAGCCGUUGAAACUGGUGUUCUUGAGUGAGCGAGAGGUAUGCGGAAUGCGUGGUGUAGCGGGGAAAUGCAUAGAUAUCACGCAGAACUCCGAUUGCGAAGGCAGCAGACCGGCGCUCAACUGACGCUCAUGCACGAAAGUGUGGGUAUCGAACAGGAUUAGAUACCCGAGUAGUC
Molecule: ribosomal RNA, 459 nt
Filed under: uncultured bacterium
Lineage: Bacteria
Description: partial 16S ribosomal RNA
Rfam family: Bacterial small subunit ribosomal RNA
Source: RNAcentral